GUGAAUCAUCGAAUCUUUGAACGCACAUUGCGCCCCUUGGUAUUCCGAGGGGCAUGCCUGUUCGAGCGUCAUUACAACCCUCAAGCUCAGCUUGGUCUUGGGCUCCGCCGCUCACUCGGCGGGCCCUAAAAUCAGUGGCGGCGCCGCCGUGGCCCUGCGCGUAGUAAACCUCCUCGCUACAGGGACCCGGCGAACGCUGGCCAGCAACCCCCAACCCUCCACGUUUGACCUCGGAUCAGGUAGGGAUACCCGCUGAACUUAAGCAUAUCAAUAAGCGGAGGA
Molecule: unclassified non-coding RNA, 282 nt
Filed under: Helotiales sp.
Lineage: Eukaryota; Fungi; Ascomycota; Leotiomycetes; Helotiales
Description: partial contains 5.8S ribosomal RNA, internal transcribed spacer 2, and large subunit ribosomal RNA
Rfam family: 5.8S ribosomal RNA (bases 1-71)
Source: RNAcentral